UUAUACUAAGCUGGCAAAACUGGACAACAAUAACCAUGCGGAGUCGGUGCAGGCUGCAUAAAAUGGACCGCAGCUGCAAUAGGCUAUUGGACUUCAAAUCUUGGCUUUCUGAACUCGGGCUCUGCGGAUCGUGCAGAAUGUAUCACGGUCGCGGAGGUAGGUAGUGCAGUCCGUACAAUCAUGACUGUGGACCACAUGGAUUGAACCUUGGCUAUUUCAAUCUCUGUGAAUGCCUCUUCCGCGUACCAUACAAAUGGUAGUGCAACCGCGGAACCUUCACUACGGACCGUGAAAUAUCGAAUGCAGCCGCAGUGCCUUGAAGCCCAUUUUGCCAGCUCUUUGAAUCCCCCAAUGCGGACCGUGCAAAGUGUAGUGCGGCCACACUAGGCCUGUUUUGCCCUUAGCUUGCCUUGUUUUGAUACUUGAGCAGGUUUCACUCUUUUGAGCCGAUCUUUGACAUUUUGUCACUUUGUUGAUCAUAUCUGCAAUCAAGCACAACUUAUGAGCCUUUUGGGACUAAUUUUUAACAAUUUGUUAUC
This 539-nucleotide long non-coding RNA is filed under the name Nicotiana benthamiana. RNAcentral's name for it is "long non-coding RNA (NBEN_LNC009463)". Lineage: Eukaryota; Viridiplantae; Streptophyta; Magnoliopsida; Solanales; Solanaceae. The record is from RNAcentral.